GGAUUUUGAGCUUCUUCUUCACUGAAAUCACUUCACUGAAAUACCUUGUCACAAAGACAGGAUGGCCACCCUUUUUUCUCACUCUGCCUCCAGGCCCUCCUUGUGGCCUGUAACUGGUCUCUGAAGCAAAUGCCUGAGCUGGAUGUGGAGAUUUACAUGGAAGGUGGGAUCUCACUUUGAGGCUACAAUGCAACUUCCUUUUCUUCGGAGAUGUGGAAGAACCUUUGUGUUCAUUCUGCCCAACUUUCAUAUUGCCCACUUCACUGAUGAAGCAAAGAGAGGAGGGAACCUGCCAUGAGAAGUUUCUUAAUGUUUAUCUUCUCUUCAUUUGUAGCUGGCCUUGAAUGAUAGGAGGUGAAUACUUUCUCCUGGCUCAGAGAGGUCACUGCAGAAUGUCAUGAAUGUUCUCCAUUGGGAAAAGGGAAGACAUUUUCUCUAAAGCUGCCUAUAUUGUACCUACUUUGUACAAAAAGAGGGUUUUACUCUAUGAUGCUGCAUUACCACCCCUUCAAUAAAAUUUGAAAAUCUGCAAA
This is a long non-coding RNA of Vidua macroura (Pin-tailed whydah), 533 nucleotides long. RefSeq lists it as uncharacterized. Lineage: Eukaryota; Metazoa; Chordata; Aves; Passeriformes; Viduidae. The record is from RefSeq and is a predicted model, not a curated record. The transcript has 2 exons.